UAGAGACGGAUAGCAACCACGUGAUCAGUAAAAAUCGUGUAUAUUCACGUGAAUUUAUUUUCCGGAAUUCCGUACACCGUCAUAGAGUAGUUGAAAAACAUAAAGGGGUUCCGAAAGUACAAGUUGUUGCUGUGACUGACUCGAUGAUUGAGGGGGUCGUCUCGACGAAAGAUAGAGACAGUUGGCCAUAGUUUAGAUUAGGAAUACGUCAAUGUAAUAAUAGUGGACCAAAUGUUUCGUCCGUGCAGAAUGGCACUUUUUACCUCACGACCAUGCAUAGCUGCGCUACGUAAACAAUUUUACAAAGUUGUUGAUGUAGCGUGAUCGUGAUGUCUGACUCCGAGUGCUGCGAGUUUCAAUACUGUUUAUGUAGUCAUUGAGAGUUUAAACAAAGUUUCUUCUGAGAAGAGGGAUUCGAUGGAUGCAUUCAACGUGGACAACGAGAUUAUAAUUUCGUUUGUGUCAUCCUAAGGACCAGUGCAAGUUGAAAUGGGCUUCGAGUCAACAACUUCAACAGCAAUUUGCCUUGAAAAUCAGCAAGAAAGGUACUUCAUUUACAUUGAUGAUGUCAUAUCCCCUGGACCCCACAACUUUACAGGUUACAGAGAAAAUUCAAGAACUUCUGCACAAUGUGGGACUUGGAUAGAAUCAAUAAUGUAUUUGUGAGCCCAGAUAUAUUGUGCAUUGGCAGUGCAACAUACUAAAGUGUGAAUUUAAUUGAAAACAAGUACAUGUACUCAUGUAUACUAUUAUAUGUCUUUCUUAAAGACAAUAAUAUUGCAUAAAUGUAGAUGAAGUGUCAUUGUUGAUUAUUCUAAGUUUUUGAUAUAUCAAAAUCAGUAAACAUUUCUAAAUGAAAAUAAAAUACCAAUUUUAUAAUUUUUAA
Long non-coding RNA from Ostrea edulis (European flat oyster), 886 nucleotides. RefSeq lists it as uncharacterized. The record is from RefSeq and is a predicted model, not a curated record. NCBI's taxonomy places the organism in Eukaryota, Metazoa, Mollusca, Bivalvia, Ostreida, Ostreidae. The transcript has 3 exons.